ACAUGGCAGCCAUGAGAGGGCUAGAGGGCGGGGCAGCCAGUGCAGGUAGAGGCCAGGGAGGGAUUUCUGAAAGAAAAGGCGAGCCUCAGAGGCCCUGAAGACGUAGAGGAGGAAAUGAGUUUGAGGAUUAUCAGAAAAUGGCUCCAGCUGAGCAGGACUACACCUCAGGAAUGAGGAAGGCAGAGGAGGCGAGCAUGACUUAGGGCCCGAGUUUACAAAGCUACUCUUCGGAGAUUUUUGUUCAUAACUCUCUUUAAGGGUUCCUGUCUGGUUCCGUUUCCCAAAGACCACCCAAUGAAGAACCUUCUAUUCUUAUCCACAUAAGAAUUUCUUACAACACACUCAAAAAGCAUUUGGGAUUGUUUCCAGAGGACGAGGGUUUGGAGACAAAAAUGUCCUGUCAGAUCUCAGCUAUGUGCUUGGAUUUUCUCGAUGACGAUUCCUGAUUCGUGGCCCUGGCAGUCUUGGGGAAGCGUUGUCGAGUUUCUUCAAUCCAGACCUUGGGGCCUCCUUUUUCUCCACAUCACUCCCACCCAGUUGAUCGAACCACUUUCUAGGACAUAUUGGCAGACAACAAAGACAUUCCUUCAGGAAGGAUGUGCUGCCCAGCUGCAUGGAAUGAGGCCAUCAGGCAACCUCCAGCUAUCAGCUCCUCCAGCACCUGCCUCAGCUGCAGAGACCACCUUGUCCAGUUCAUGUCCUCCCUGGCAAGUCUCAUCUGGUGACAGAAGCAAUCAAGCAGGCAUAGAAAGGCCAGGCCAUUUAGACCCAACGCAGCACAAACUGGAUGGACAAUAUUCACACUAGAGCUCCCUACUAGUAUGGAGCCCACCAUACAGUUCAACUUCUUUCCCUGGUCAAUCCUGCUCCUUUCUCUUCUCUUUGGUCUCUUUAAAAUUAUGGACCCUAACCUGUAUCUCUGCAUCUUCCUCCAGAAAACCCCAUCUGUAACAGGAAACUAAAUGACACCUAGGAUUAUAGAAGGCCUGUUUUAUUUUAUUUUUUUUAAUUUUUAUUUAUUUAUGAUAGUCACAGAGAGAGAGAGAGAGAGAGAGAGAGGCAGAGACACAGGGGGAGGAAGAAGCAGGCUCCAUGCANUUAAAAUCAUGGACCCUAACCUAUAUCUCUGCAUCUUUCUCCAGAAAACCCCACCUGUAACUAUAAACACCUAGGAUUAUAGAAGGCCUGUUUUAGAAGUAUGUAUAUCUCCCUAUUGUUCUUUCUACCAAAAAGACAAUACAAAUUAAGUAAAGCCUCACCUACAUAUCCUGUCCUAUCUCCCACUCUUAUCCCUAAGACAGAGAAAGACAUGCACAGAGUUGGAUAUUCCUCCUUAGGAAUAUAUACUUUAGUGAGUGUUCAAAUGUUAGGUUUUUUUCUCUUUUUGCACCGCAGCUUGAUUUCUGCUAAAACGCAAUCUCCCCGUUUUGUUCGAGAAUGAAUUCAAAUAACCAGCUCAAAUCAUUAUCUGAGUCAGAAAGGUAUGUAUCAUAAUAAUCUCAAUGUGUGGCAAGUGGGAAAUGUUCUUGGAAUAUUCCUAGACACCCCAUUCUGAGGAGGAAGGGGACCUUUUUCUGGAAAUGUCAGACACAGGGGCUCACCCCUGAAUGACUUGGCUGUUUUGUCCUGCUUAGCACAGAGGCUUAGCAUAGUUA
RNAcentral lists this long non-coding RNA (1655 nucleotides) under Vulpes vulpes (red fox). RNAcentral describes it as "lncRNA (ENSVVUG00000026568.1)". The record is from RNAcentral. Lineage: Eukaryota; Metazoa; Chordata; Mammalia; Carnivora; Canidae.